This 253-nucleotide ribosomal RNA is filed under the name uncultured bacterium. Its description in RNAcentral is "partial 16S ribosomal RNA". It matches the Rfam family "Bacterial small subunit ribosomal RNA", at positions 524 to 776 of the family's 1533-position model. The record is from RNAcentral.
UACAGAGGGCUCAAGCGUUGUCCGGAUUCAUUGGGCGUAAAGGGUGCGUAGGUGGCGUGGUAAGUCGGGUGUGAAAUUUCGGAGCUUAACCCCGAAACUGCAUUCGAUACUGCUGUGCUUGAGGACUGGAGAGGAGACUGGAAUUUACGGUGUAGCAGUGAAAUGCGUAGAGAUCGUAAGGAAGACCAGUGGCGAAGGCGGGUCUCUGGACAGUUCCUGACACUGAGGCACGAAGGCCAGGGGAGCAAACGGG